AACUUUUGGCAACGGAUCUCUUGGUUCUGGUAUCGAUGAAGAACGCAGCGAAAUGCGAUAAGUAAUGCGAAUUGCAGAAUUCAGUGAGUCAUCGAAUCUUUGAACGCACAUUGCGCCCCUUGGUAUUCCGAGGGGCAUGCCUGUUCGAGCGUCAUUAUAACCCUCAAGCCUAGCUUGGUAUUGAGGUCGCUAUCCAGCGGCCCCUAAAAUCAGUGGCGGUGCCCGUAGGUUCUACGCGUAGUAAUUUUUCUCGCUAUGGAUCCCUAUAGGCACUUGCCAACAACCCCAACUUUUUCAGGUUGACCUCGGAUCAGGUAGGGAUACCCGCUGAACUUAAGCAUAUCAAUAAGCGGAGGCU
RNAcentral lists this unclassified non-coding RNA (358 nucleotides) under uncultured Helotiaceae. RNAcentral describes it as "sequence contains ITS2". The stretch from base 1 to 154 matches the Rfam family "5.8S ribosomal RNA". Lineage: Eukaryota; Fungi; Ascomycota; Leotiomycetes; Helotiales; Helotiaceae. The record is from RNAcentral.